Octodon degus (degu) is the source of this 124-nucleotide small nucleolar RNA. The record is from Ensembl. NCBI's taxonomy places the organism in Eukaryota, Metazoa, Chordata, Mammalia, Rodentia, Octodontidae.
GGCACUUGUUUUUUUUUUUUUUCUUGUGAACUACAAAACAAGACAAUUGCAAAAAAUAAAUCCUCUUUUGCAACCCAGAACUCAUUGUUUGAGGUGAGUUUUGAUACAUUUAAGAAGGAAUAUU